GCAUUCAAUAAGAGGUCUAGCCUGGCCAGUGACCUAGUUCAACGGCCGCGGUAUCCUAACCGUGCGAAGGUAGCGUAAUCACUUGUUCUUUAAAUGAGGACUAGUAUGAAUGGCAUCACGAGGGUUAUACUGUCUCCUUUCUCUAAUCAGUGAAACUAAUCUUCCCGUGAAGAAGCGGGAAUUAACAUAUAAGACGAGAAGACCCUAUGGAGCUUUAAAUAUAUAACAAGUGCUUCUUUCUAUCUCACAUCCUGAUGAAUAAUUUUUAAUCUAGCAUUUUAACUUAUAGAUUUUAGGUUGGGGUGACCAUGGAGCAAAAACUAACCUCCAUAUUGAAAAACCUCAUUUUUAAGCAAAAAGUUACUACUUUAAGCAUCAACAUAUUGACAUUAAUUGACCCAAUAAUUUGAUCAAUGAACCAAGUUACCCUAGGGAUAACAGCGCAAUCUACUUCAAGAGCUCUUAUCGACAAGUAGGUUUACGACCUCGAUGUUGGAUCAGGGUGUCCUAGUGGUGCAGCCGCUACUAAAGGUUCGUUUGUUCAACGAUUAAAACCCUACGUGAUCU
This 567-nucleotide ribosomal RNA is filed under the name Crossodactylus trachystomus. RNAcentral's name for it is "Crossodactylus bokermanni partial 16S ribosomal RNA". It matches the Rfam family "Bacterial large subunit ribosomal RNA", at positions 1838 to 2606 of the family's 2925-position model. The record is from RNAcentral. Lineage: Eukaryota; Metazoa; Chordata; Amphibia; Anura; Hylodidae.